GGAGUCGACUGCCUUUGCAGUUUGAAUCAAUCGAGUUUGGAAAGGCAUUUCUCAAUGCCUGGUGAUUGGAUUUAUUUGAAAUUUUGGGAGAAUCAAGCUUUAUAAGUUAGGCUCUGAAAGACACAAGUUUUGGUAAAUUUAAAGAAAAUUUUAAUUUUUAGUGAAUUUCUAAGUGAAGAGGAUUAGUCACUGCAGCAGUUUGGAUCAUACAACUUCAAAGGAGAAAUUCUCACGAUUGGAUCAUUAGAUUGCAACAAAGACUGUUGGAUCAAAAGCGUCUUCAAGUCAGCCUUGCAAAAAGCUAAGAAUCAUUCAAAUUGAAGCCAAUUAAAAAUUUUGGCAAAUUUUGGAGUAGAGGGGGGUCGCUGCCUUCAAUCAUUAGGUGUUGUCAAGGUACCUUCGCUUUCACUUCUCACUUUAUUUUUACUAUCAUCUUCACAGUGAAUUGUAAGCUCCA
RNAcentral lists this long non-coding RNA (457 nucleotides) under Physcomitrium patens. RNAcentral describes it as "long non-coding RNA (PPAT_LNC004768)". The record is from RNAcentral. Lineage: Eukaryota; Viridiplantae; Streptophyta; Bryopsida; Funariales; Funariaceae.